UACGUAGGUGGCAAGCGUUGUCCGGAAUUACUGGGCGUAAAGCGUGCGUAGGCGGUUUGUUAAGUCCGUUGUGAAAGCCCUGGGCUCAACCUGGGAAUUGCAGUGGAUACUGGCGAGCUAGAGUGCGGUAGAGGAUGGUGGAAUUCCCGGUGUAGCGGUGAAAUGCGUAGAGAUCGGGAGGAACACCCGUGGCGAAGGCGGCCAUCUGGACCAGCACUGACGCUGAGGCACGAAAGCGUGGGGAGCAAACAGG
Molecule: ribosomal RNA, 253 nt
Filed under: uncultured bacterium
Lineage: Bacteria
Description: partial 16S ribosomal RNA
Rfam family: Bacterial small subunit ribosomal RNA
Source: RNAcentral